RNAcentral lists this ribosomal RNA (694 nucleotides) under uncultured bacterium. RNAcentral's name for it is "bacterial SSU rRNA". It matches the Rfam family "Bacterial small subunit ribosomal RNA", at positions 94 to 788 of the family's 1533-position model. The record is from RNAcentral.
ACCGGCGCACGGGUGCGUAACGCGUAUGCAACCUGCCUUGUACAGGGGAAUAGCCCAGAGAAAUUUGGAUUAAUGCCCCAUAAUACUAAGGUUCACAUGAACCUUAGUUAAAAACUCCGGUGGUACAAGAUGGGCAUGCGUGACAUUAGCUAGAUGGUAAGGUAACGGCUUACCAUGGCAAUGAUGUCUAGGGGUUCUGAGAGGAUGAUCCCCCACACUGGUACUGAGACACGGACCAGACUCCUACGGGAGGCAGCAGUGAGGAAUAUUGGGCAAUGGAGGCAACUCUGACCCAGCCAUGCCGCGUGCAGGAUGACUGCCUUAUGGGUUGUAAACUGCUUUUGUAUAGGACGAACCCCGUUACGAGUAACGGUUUGACAGUACUAUACGAAUAAGGAUCGGCUAACUCCGUGCCAGCAGCCGCGGUAAUACGGAGGAUUCGAGCGUUAUCCGGAUUUAUUGGGUUUAAAGGGUGCGUAGGCGGUUUAUUAAGUCAGUGGUGAAAUUUUAGGGCUCAACCCUGAGACUGCCAUUGAUACUGGUAAACUUGAGUAUACGUGACGUAGGCGAAAUUUGACAAGUAGCGGUGAAAUGCAUAGAUAUGUCAAGGAACUCCAAUUGCGAAGGCAGCUUACGAAAGUAUAACUGACGCUGAUGCACGAAAGCGUGGGUAGCGAACAGGAUUAGAUACCCU